CUGCUUAGGCAGCACAUAUACUAAAAUUGGACCUAUACAAAGAAGACUGGCCCUUGCAUAAGGAUGACAUGCAAAUUUGUGAAGCAUUCCAUAUUUCA
RNAcentral lists this small nuclear RNA (98 nucleotides) under Urocitellus parryii (Arctic ground squirrel). Lineage: Eukaryota; Metazoa; Chordata; Mammalia; Rodentia; Sciuridae. The record is from RNAcentral.